UUCAAGAUUCUAAGAGCAAACGGUGGAUGCCUUGGCAUCUGGAGCCGAAGAAGGACGUAUAAAUCUGCGAUAAGCCUCGGGGAGCUGAUAAUAGAGCUGUGAUCCGAGGAUCUCCGAAUGGGGAAACCCCGCCAGGCCCUUUGGGUGACCUGGUGACUCCCGCCUGAAUAUAUAGGGCGGGUAGAGGGAACGUGGGGAAGUGAAACAUCUCAGUACCCACAGGAAGAGAAAGCAAAAGCGAUUCCGUUAGUAGUGGCGAGCGAAACCGGAAGAGGCCAAACCGAUCAUGUGUGAUAUCCGGUAGGAGUUGCAUGGUCGGGGUUGCGGGACUUUCCGUACAGUUCUACCGAGCUGUGAGGGCAAUGAGCGCGAUAUAGACGAAUGG
RNAcentral lists this ribosomal RNA (385 nucleotides) under Clavibacter michiganensis. Its description in RNAcentral is "bacterial LSU rRNA". It matches the Rfam family "Bacterial large subunit ribosomal RNA", at positions 1 to 340 of the family's 2925-position model. Lineage: Bacteria; Bacillati; Actinomycetota; Actinomycetes; Micrococcales; Microbacteriaceae. The record is from RNAcentral.